GAUCCAGCCAUGCCGCGUGAGUGAAGAAGGCCUUAGGGUUGUAAAGCUCUUUUGCCAGGGACGAUAAUGACGGUACCUGGAGAAUAAGCCCCGGCAAACUUCGUGCCAGCAGCCGCGGUAAUACGAAGGGGGCUAGCGUUGUUCGGAUUUACUGGGCGUAAAGCGCACGUAGGCGGAUUGUUAAGUCAGGGGUGAAAUCC
Molecule: ribosomal RNA, 200 nt
Filed under: uncultured bacterium
Lineage: Bacteria
Description: partial 16S ribosomal RNA
Rfam family: Bacterial small subunit ribosomal RNA
Source: RNAcentral